Marmota monax (woodchuck) is the source of this 4190-nucleotide long non-coding RNA. RefSeq lists it as uncharacterized. The transcript is spliced from 3 exons. The record is from RefSeq and is a predicted model, not a curated record. NCBI's taxonomy places the organism in Eukaryota, Metazoa, Chordata, Mammalia, Rodentia, Sciuridae.
CUUGCGGGUCCGCCUCCUCCCGGCGCUGGGGUUUUGAUCCAGGCUCUGAAAUGAGAGGCGAUCUGCGAGACUGCUCUCCUCUAAGCCACACCGGUCGGCGAUGGGUCAGUAGCGAGCUACGGGUUCUUAGCAGCUGGACCGAAGCAACUAUUUCGGGAGUACUCCAAAGACAGAAAAACAAGUGCUGAGUAAUUUUCUUGGGCGUGAGUCCAUUAUCCAUUGCAAAAUGAAAAUGUUCGCUUUUGCCUAACGCGCAAAGAAAAUACUUAGACAUAGUAACUGCUUCUGCACACAACGAUCCUCUGGCUCGCUCCGGAGAGAAUUAGCGAAGUUCCAUACAGUGGCCUGAGGCACAGAUAGAGCCGAAGUGCUGUCCAGCUCUGGGAAGCUCCAGGAGCCUGCAGUGUGGCCUAGGAGGUCUGGGCAGGUGAGCCACAGAGGGAGUCAGAGCUGUGCUCCCCCAACCCCGGGGGCUGCAGGGAAGGAGGAGGGAAUUCACCCAUCUGUCUAGGAGGCUGCUCUGGAAAAUGCUGAAAUAACAUCACUGCAUAUGGCGAAGCUCUGGAAAGCAAUGAAAUGUGUAGAUUCACGAGAUGAUGACCGAUUUUAAAAAACAUCAGUUAAAGGCAUCGUUGUGAGGCUGAAAACCAAAGAAUCAGAAGCGUGUUAAAGCCUCCUGGGCUGGUGCGGCCAGCCACCGUGUUUCAGGAAGGUGGUCAGGCAUGAAAACUGUGAACUUGCAGGCCAGGCAGAUUCUGCAAAUCAGCAAACUGGAAUGAUUUUUAAAAACAUCUGCUUAGUAUUCUGUAGGGUUAUGUGGAAGAACAGGUUUUCAAUGGUAAUGAAAUGGCUUGUUUCACGAGGACAUUGGCAAAUGAACCUUUGUAGCAAGUGGCAUUUCAGUUGACAUAAAUGUGAUCAGAGGCUUGUAGGAAUCUUACUCUGUAUUUCCUCUAUGAGCAACAGGCUAAUAUUCACUAAUUCAGUGUUUAUAGGGACUUAUAAAUAGCAACUUGAAUAACAAGAAUCAACUGUAUUUCAAGCAUAAAGCCUGAUACUAAAAAAUCAAGUCCUAUAAACCACAAAAUUAAAAGUAAAAUUUAAUAGAAAGCAAGGUCUCAUUUAAAUCAUGGAAAAGAUGGGGUCCUGAGGGUCUGCUCAGGAAUGUUCAUUGAGCAUGCUCAAGGCCCUGAGCUCAGAUUUCUAACCCUGAAAAAAAAAAGACUCUAGAAGUUUUUAUGCAAUAUCAAUAUCUAAUAUUUUACACAUUGCUCUCUAUUGCUUUCUUAUAUAAUAGAAAAUAUAGUGGGCUGGGAUUGAAGCUCAGUGGUAGAGCACUUGCCUAGCAUGUGUGAGGCACUGGGUUACAUCCUGAGCACCUCAUAAAAAUAAAUAAAUAAAAUAUAGGUAUUGUGUCCAUCUACAACUAAAAAAUAAAAAAGAGAAAAUAUAGUAACUUUUUCCAACAAAGCUCAAGGUUGAUGAUCUCAUUUCUUCCACUUCCUUUUUUUAAAAUAUUUUUUUAGUUGUUGGUGGACCGCUCUCCCUCUCCGGUCCUCCCCCUCUAACCCUCCUCCCUCCUCCACCUUCUCUUCCCUCCUCCCCCUACAGUCUUGGGAAGGUGCAACUCUAAGUGGUGCUGAGAAUCAAACCCAGUGCAUCACGCAUGCUAGGAAAGUGCUCUACCACUGAGCUACAACGCCAGCCCCCUCUUCCACUUCCUGUUAGUUGCUAUGUAAACACUAGCUUGUUUGUGGACCAUGAGAUGAGAACAGUCGGAAAGUACAGCAUUAGACUUAAUUAUGACUUAUUUACAUGAAGCUCAGUCAGCCAGAAGAAUGCUUAAAUCAUCCUUCAAGAACAGCCAAAUAGGGGCUGGGGUUGUGGCUCAGUGGCAAAGUGCUCGCCUAACAUGUGCGAGGCCCUGGGUUUGAUCCUCAGAACCACAUAUAAAUAAAUAAAAUAAAGGUAUUGUGUCCAACUACAACUAAAAGAUAAAAAUAUUUAAAAAAAAAAAGAACAGCAAAUGCCUGUGCGACGGGAGCCGUACAGCCACUGGAAGGACGGAGACAGCUCCCCAGGUGCAGUGGCACACACCUACAAUCCUGUGACUCACAAGUUUGAAGCAAUGCAGCAAGACCCUGUGUCAAAAUUAAAAAAAAAAAAAAUCCCAGGGCUGGGGAUCUAGCUCUGUUGGGGCAUCCCUGAGUUCAAUCCCCAGAAUGCGACAGCUCCAAGUGCUGCAUGGUGAAGGGGAAGAGGCUUGGAGAGGUGUUAAUGAGCACAGACCAGCAGGUGGGGUGAAUAUUCAUUUCUUUUUGUAGCUGCCCAUAACAAAUGAUCACAAAUGUGGGGACUCAUGACAGGUAAUCAUUGUCUGAAAGUAGGAAGCCCCACACAUGUCCCUGGGUCUUUGUGGAGGCUCUGGGAAAGUCAGCCUUGCCACCCCCACUCCUUGUCUGCCCCCAUUUUCAAAGCCCCCGCUCUCCCUCUCCUGUCCUCCCCCUCUAACCCUCCUCCCUCCUCCGCCUCCUCUUCCCUCCUCCCACUACAGUCUUGGGAAGGUACAACUCCAAGUUUCUCGUCACUGCAGUGGCCUGACAAUCCAGGAUAAUCUUCCCAUCUCAAGAUCCUUAACUGUGCCAAGUGCUGUGGCUCAAGUCUGUAAUCCCAAUGGCUUGGGAGGCUGAGGCAGGAGGAUCUCCCAGCCUCAGCAACAGCGAGGCGCUAAGCAACUCAGUGAGACCCUUUCUCUAAAUAAAAUACAAAAUAGGGCUGGGGAUGUGGCUCAGUGGUCGAGUGCCCCUGAGUUCAAUCCCCGGUACCCACAGCAAAAAAAAAAAAAAAAAAAAAAAGAUACUUAACUGUAAUUGCAUCUGAAAAGCCCCUUUAGCCACAUGAAGUCUUCUACUCACAGGUCCCAGGGGUUAGGACGUGGACAUGCUGGCAAGGAGACAUCAUCCUGCUCAGAGCUGCUCCUGUGGUAGAAAACUAUGGGGCAUAGGAAGGCUAACAUUUCACUAUAUGUACCCUUUAUUAUUUGGUUUUAAAUAUAUGCAAGACUUAAUUUAAUUGAAUAAACUUUAAAGCUCUUAAAUUAAUUUAAUCAGUGUUGUUUGUCUUCUUGUGUUUUUUCUUUAUUUUUGGCGCUAAGGAUAGAACUCAGGGCCUCACUCAUGCUAAGCCAGGGCUUUACUAAUGAACUAUGCCCCCAGCCUCGCUUGUAUAUCUUAAAUACUAAGUAAUUAAAAAAAAAAUCUUCUGAGCCAGUUGCAGUGGUACAUUCCUGUAAUCCCAGCCACUCAGGAGGCUGAGGCAGGAGCAUCACAAGUUCAAGGCCAGCCUCAGCAACUAAGUGAGGCCCUAAGCAACUGAGGGAGACCCUGUCUCAAAAUAAAAAUAAAUAAAAAGGGAUGUGUUUCAGUGGUUAAGUGCCCCAUGGGUUUAAUCCCUGGUUCAAAAAAUCCCAAACUUCUGGAUUACAGCCUCUAAGGUCCACCACAAUGGCCACCAGAUGGCGCCCUUUUGACACGCUGGCGUGUCCUGGUCACAGGGCUUGCUUGCACCUUGGCUGCUGUGUUCCUCAUCAGGAACCCAACAGGGAUGAGGCGUGAGAGGCACACUCCAGAGCCCAGGGCAGCUGCACUCAGUGGUUUCUUUGCGCUGCCAUUGCAUUUGGAACCUGCUUCCCCCUCUGUUAACUGUCAACUCCUGGCCUCACCCUCGGACUGAGAAUCCACAUGAACAGCACACCUGGUCAGAUGCCACCUUCCUUUGCCUCGUCCUGUCUCCACAACUUACCCUUCUUUGAUGGAGUCUGCUCUCCUCUUCGGGCCUUCACUCUCUACAUGGAAUCAGUCUUACAGAAGGGGGGAGAUGCUAAGAGCCACAGCCAAAUAAUAUGAUGCAUGGCAUUUUUGGUUGAAAGGUGACGCCAGCAAGCCAUUGAGAUGAUAUGAUUAUGUUAAGAUCUGCAUUUAUAUGGAUAUUGGACUCCUGCUGUCCACCUCGGCCUGCUACAGGACUCCUGGAGAGUUCCCAUUGGUUGGGGAAGUGCGGUAGGAGGGAAUUCCGGGGGAGGGACUUCCUGUUGGGGUCCGGGAGAACGCCGCGUGGGUCGGUCGGCAAUCUUCCCGGGAGCAUAUGGGGCAUUGGCGGCAGUUUCAAAAAUAAAGUUUGUUCCUGCUUGA